AGUACCUGCCCCUGACUCUGGAAUAACCGUGGGAAACGACGGCUAAUACCGGAUAUGAGACGUCCACGCAUGUGAGCGUCUGGAAAGAUUUAUCGGUCUGGGAUGGACUCGCGGCCUAUCAGCUUGUUGGUGGGGUAAUGGCCCACCAAGGCGACGACGGGUAGCCGGCCUGAGAGGGCGACCGGCCACACUGGGACUGAGAUACGGCCCAGACUCCUACGGGAGGCAGCAGUGGGGAAUAUUGCACAAUGGGCGCAAGCUGAAUGCAGCGACGCCGCGUGGGGGAUGAAGGCCUUCGGGUUGUAACCCUUUCAGCAGGGAAGAAGCGAAAGUGACGGUACCUGCAGAAGAAGCGCCGGCUAACUACGUGCCAGCAGCUGCGGUAAUACGUAGGGCGCAAGCGUUGUCCGGAAUUAUUGGGCGUAAAGAGCUCGUAGGCGGUUUGUCGCGUCUGCUGUUAAAACCCGAGGCUCACCUCGGGCUUGCAGUGGGUACGGGCAGACUAGAGUUCGGUAGGGGUGACUGGGAAUUCCUGGUGUAGCGGUGGAAUGCGCAAAUAUCAGGAGGAACACCGAUGGCGAAGGCAGGUCACUGGGCCGCAACUGACGCUGAGGAGCGAAAACAUUGGGGAGCGAACAGGAUUAAAUACCCUGGUAGUCCAUGCCGUAAACGUUGGGCACUAGGUUUUGGGUCAUUCCACGAGUUCCGUGCCGCAGCAAACGCAUAAGUGCCCGCUGGGAGUACAGCGCAAGCUAAACUCAAAGAAUGACGGGGGCCCGCACAAGCGGCGGAGCAUGCGGAUUAAUUCGAUGCGACGCGAAGAACCUUACCAAGGCUUGACAUACACCGGAAAAAGUGCAGAGAUGUGCUCCCCGCAAGGUCGGUGUACAGGUGGUGCAUGGUUGUCGUCAGCUCGUGUCGUGAGAUGUUGGGUUAAGUCCCGCAACGAGCGCAACCCUCGUCCUAUGUUGCCAGCACGUUAUGGUGGGGACUCAUAGGAGACUGCCGGGGUCAACUCGGAGGAAGGUGGGGAUGACGUCAAAUCAUCAUGCCCCUUAUGUCUUGGGCUUCACGCAUGCUACAAUGGCCGGUACAAAGGGCUGCGAUACCGCAAGGUGGAGCGAAUCCCAAAAAGCCGGUCUCAGUUCGGAUUGGGGUCUGCAACUCGACCCCAUGAAGUCGGAGUCGCUAGUAAUCGCAGAUCAGCAACGCUGCGGUGAAUACGUUCCCGGGCCUUGUACAC
Molecule: ribosomal RNA, 1243 nt
Filed under: Cellulomonadaceae str. W2
Lineage: Bacteria; Bacillati; Actinomycetota; Actinomycetes; Micrococcales; Cellulomonadaceae
Description: bacterial SSU rRNA
Rfam family: Bacterial small subunit ribosomal RNA
Source: RNAcentral